RNAcentral lists this long non-coding RNA (898 nucleotides) under Marmota monax (woodchuck). The record is from RNAcentral. Lineage: Eukaryota; Metazoa; Chordata; Mammalia; Rodentia; Sciuridae.
CUAGCCUAAGUUCAGGGAGUGUUUGCUGAACAUCAGGACCUCAUGCCCUGUGCUAUGGGAAGAACUAGGAGGUGAUCUGCUGUCAAGGAAUUUCAUUUCUCUAUUAGAUAGGCUCUAAAAGAAACGGACAAUAUCAGAAAAGACAGAUUUCAUUUCUUUUAAUCACUUUAGACUUCCUAAUUAUCAUGGGGCUCUAUUUCUGUCUUGUACAUGGUAAGAAUAUGUAUUGCGUGAACAACCUGAAAGUCAAUAUAAAGCUUUUUAUUUGUGGCUUCAUAAUAUUAAAAAAAAAAAAAAGUGGCUUGAAGAGCAAAUUAUAAAUGUCGUGAGAGACUAGAACAGGAAUGGAAAUCGCAACAUAGUGCAGUGAUAACCCAUACUUUCAGUCUAAACUUUUUUUUUUUUUUUUAAUGUGGCUAACUUGUGUUUUCUUCCUUACCAGGACAGUGGAGCAUUGUUUUCACAUGUGUGAUAGAAUGGUUAUUUAUUUCUUCAUUGCAGCAUCUUAUGCUCCAUGGUAAGAUAAAACUAUUCUUGAAGGCAAUAUUUUUAUGAUUAGAAUUCCUCAUUUCUCCUUUCUUCUAUUCCUCCUCUCCCUGCCCCCGGCUCUCAUGCAUACAUUCCAUUUCCCCCUGAAGGGACAUAAAUAUAUGCAUUUUUUCCUAUUUGAUUACUUGCAUCAGAUUGUAGUUUUAAAAUGAGAAAUAUUGCUGUUUAGAAUGAAUAUCUGAGAAUUGAAUUGUCUAAGAGGAUGUGAAUGCUAUGAACUUAAUUGUAGGUAGCAUGUUCAUUUUUAAACAUAUAAACUUUGCCCUCUAUAUUCUUUCCAUAUACCUCUGCUGCUUUUCAGAACUUGAAUUGUUCAAGUAAACAGUGCUGUAAAUACAUAUGAGAAAAG